UAUGUACCUCUACUCAAGGGAUACUAGAUUUAGAAGAAAAAAAUAUAUGGGUAUAUACAUACAAAAUGUCGGUACGGUGAAUUUGUUGCCUUAAACACUGCACUUCAUUACAGAAUAUAUCCCGGACCUGUUUUCCAGGGGGAAAGUCUAUGCGAGAGAAAGUCUAUGCGGGGGGAGUCUAUGCUGCAACACCGGCGGUUCUAACUGGUUAUCAGAUUAUCUAAAUGCGUAACGUAUAUAACCUUCAUAAAGUUUCAUCCUCUGGUUACCCAAGUCUUGAUCUUCGCGAGAAGUGAGCUGCCAUUCUAACGUUCAUAUUUUUUUUUUUUUUUUUUUUUUUUUUACAAAUUCUUAAAUUUAAACUUCCAAUCCAUGUUAGAUAUUGUUGCAACCGACCAGAGCAAAUCAGUGACACAAAUCUUUAAAUCUAACAACCACUCAAUACAAAUUGUCUGUUGGAGUUUAUGAUAGUGUUUAACAUGAACAAUACCAAGUCGAUGAUUUUAAGCGAGAGAUACAAGAGAACUCUUUAGAUACCUUAUGGUUAUACUGAAGUCAUCAGCUUCACGCAUUGAUAUACAUACGGGCUUUUUAUUCAUAGUACGAACGUUAGAUUUAAAGUUUAAACCACUGCAUGCAAGUCCCUGUCUGUUUGCUGGUUCAAAAUACACCCACGGUCGCUCUGUUGGGUCUUUUAUCACACAUUGACAAUCCAGGUGGGGUACGAUAUAUCCACUGUUCUGUUUAGUCUUCACACAUUGAAAAUCCAGGUGAAGUACGAUAUAUCCACUGUUCUGUUUAGUCUUCACACAUUGCAAAUUCGGGUGAGGAUAUGAUAAAUCCACUGUUCUGUUUAGUCUUCACACAUUGAAAAUCCAGGUGAGGGUACGAUAUAUCCACUGUUCUGUUUAGUUUUCGCGUUCUGUAGAGCUAUUUCCUCUGAUCUGAUGUUUCCUUUUGUUUACAGUUUUCACAGAUUGAAAUUUGGCGGAGAUUAUAUAAUUGUUUCCGCACCACCGAAACUAUACAUGACAGAUUGACGUCAGGUUUUCUGGCUUUUAGUUUUCCGGAAAUUAGCAUUUUCAUUCAGUGCCAUCACAAAAAAACUUCUAUCCCCUAUUUUCAGAUGCGGAUUUAAGGAGCCUCUCCCAUACAUUUUCAAAUCUAAUGUAGACCAUAGUCUCUUAGAUAGAAAUAAAAAAUAAACAAUAAAAAAAAUCCACUUAUAGAAAUACAUGAGAAGAUUUUUUGAUAUAUUGUUAUUUUUAUUGGGAGAAAUUAUAUUCAAUUAAAAAAAAAAAAAAAAAAAAAAAAAA
This is a long non-coding RNA of Ostrea edulis (European flat oyster), 1316 nucleotides long. RefSeq lists it as uncharacterized. Lineage: Eukaryota; Metazoa; Mollusca; Bivalvia; Ostreida; Ostreidae. The transcript has 2 exons. The record is from RefSeq and is a predicted model, not a curated record.